This 344-nucleotide ribosomal RNA is filed under the name uncultured bacterium. Its description in RNAcentral is "bacterial SSU rRNA". It matches the Rfam family "Bacterial small subunit ribosomal RNA", at positions 457 to 793 of the family's 1533-position model. The record is from RNAcentral.
UAGCGUAUUCGUUUGACGUUAGCGACAGAAGAAAGCACCGGCUAACUCCGUGCCAGCAGCCGCGGUAAUACGGAGGGUGCGAGCGUUAAUCGGAAUUACUGGGCGUAAAGCGCAUGCAGGUGGUUUGUUAAGUCAGAUGUGAAAGACCCGGGGCGUCAACCUCGGAAUAGCAUUUGUAAACUAGGCAGACUAGAGUACUGUAGAGGGGGGUAGGAAUUUCAGGUGUAGCGGUGAAAUGCGUAGAGAUCUGAAGGAAUACCGGUGGCGAAGGCGGCCCCCUCGGACAGAUACUGACACUCAGAUGCGAAAGCGUGGGGAGCAAACAGGAUUAGAUACCCUGGUAG